This 224-nucleotide ribosomal RNA is filed under the name uncultured bacterium. RNAcentral's name for it is "partial 16S ribosomal RNA". It matches the Rfam family "Bacterial small subunit ribosomal RNA", at positions 28 to 253 of the family's 1533-position model. The record is from RNAcentral.
GACGAACGCUGGCGGCGUGCUUAACACAUGCAAGUCGAGCGGUAAGGCCCUUUCGGGGGUACACGAGCGGCGAACGGGUGAGUAACACGUGGGUGACCUGCCCUCAGCUCUGGGAUAAGCCUGGGAAACCGGGUCUAAUACCGGAUAUGACUCCAUGACGCAUGUUGUGGGGUGGAAAGCCUUGUGCGGCUGAGGAUGGGCCCGCGGCCUAUCAGCUUGUUGGU